RNAcentral lists this transfer RNA (73 nucleotides) under Schistocerca americana (American grasshopper). RNAcentral's name for it is "tRNA-Val". It matches the Rfam family "tRNA". From Rfam's summary of the family: Transfer RNA (tRNA) molecules are approximately 80 nucleotides in length. The record is from RNAcentral. Lineage: Eukaryota; Metazoa; Arthropoda; Insecta; Orthoptera; Acrididae.
GUUUCCGUAGUGUAGCGGUUAUCACGUCUGCUUCACAAGUAGAAGGUCCCCGGUUCGAUCCCGGGCGGGAACA